This is a non-coding RNA of Streptomyces sp. 769, 75 nucleotides long. NCBI's taxonomy places the organism in Bacteria, Bacillati, Actinomycetota, Actinomycetes, Kitasatosporales, Streptomycetaceae. The record is from Rfam.
CUUCACGGAACCGAGCCACAGCGGCCGGUCGCCCUGCCGGUCCUGGCCGUACGUGGCCAGCAGCGCCUGCGCCUC